This 2784-nucleotide ribosomal RNA is filed under the name human gut metagenome. RNAcentral's name for it is "bacterial LSU rRNA". It matches the Rfam family "Bacterial large subunit ribosomal RNA". The record is from RNAcentral.
AGGGCGCACGGUGGAUGCCUUGGCACUAGAAGCCGAUGAAGGACGUGACUAACGACGAAAUGCUUUGGGGAGCUGUAAGUGAGCAAUGAUCCAGAGAUGUCCGAAUGGGGGAACCCGGCAGGUAAUGCCUGUCACUCAUUACUGUUAAGGUAAUGUAGAGGAAGACGCAGUGAACUGAAACAUCUAAGUAGCUGUAGGAAGAGAAAGCAAAAGCGAUUGCCUUAGUAGCGGCGAGCGAAACGGCAAGAGGGCAAACCGAAGAGUUUACUCUUCGGGGUUGUAGGACUGCAACGUGGACUUAAAGAUUAUAGAAGAACUACCUGGGAAGGUAGGCCAAAGAGAGUAAUAGCCUCGUAUUCGAAAUAGUCUUUAUACCUAGCAGUAUCCUGAGUACGGCGAGACACGAGAAAUCUCGUCGGAAUCUGGGAGGACCAUCUCCCAACCCUAAAUACUCUCUAGUGACCGAUAGUGAACCAGUACCGUGAGGGAAAGGUGAAAAGCACCCCGGGAGGGGAGUGAAAUAGAACCUGAAACCGUGUGCCUACAACAAGUUCGAGCCCGUUAAUGGGUGAGAGCGUGCCUUUUGUAGAAUGAACCGGCGAGUUACGAUAUGAUGCGAGGUUAAGUUGAAGAGACGGAGCCGUAGGGAAACCGAGUCUUAAUAGGGCGCAUUAGUAUCAUGUCGUAGACCCGAAACCAUGUGACCUACCCAUGAGCAGGUUGAAGGUGAGGUAAAACUCACUGGAGGACCGAACCAGGGCACGUUGAAAAGUGCUUGGAUGACUUGUGGGUAGCGGAGAAAUUCCAAACGAACUUGGAGAUAGCUGGUUCUCUCCGAAAUAGCUUUAGGGCUAGCGUCGAUGUUAAGUCUCUUGGAGGUAGAGCACUGUUUGGGUGAGGGGUCCAUCCCGGAUUACCAAUCUCAGAUAAACUCCGAAUGCCAAUGAGAUAUAAUCGGCAGUCAGACUGCGAGUGCUAAGAUCCGUAGUCGAAAGGGAAACAGCCCAGACCACCAGCUAAGGUCCCAAAAUAUAUGUUAAGUGGAAAAGGAUGUGGGGUUGCACAGACAACUAGGAUGUUAGCUCAGAAGCAGCUAUUCAUUCAAAGAGUGCGUAAUAGCUCACUAGUCGAGUGACCCUGCGCCGAAAAUGUACCGGGGCUAAAACAUAUUACCGAAGCUGUGGAUACCUUUAUAGGUAUGGUAGGAGAGCGUUCUAUGUGCGAAGAAGGUGUACCGUGAGGAGUGCUGGAGCGCAUAGAAGUGAGAAUGCCGGUAUGAGUAGCGAAAGACAGGUGAGAAUCCUGUCCACCGUAAGACUAAGGUUUCCAGGGGAAGGCUCGUCCGCCCUGGGUUAGUCGGGACCUAAGGAGAGACCGAAAGGUGUAUCCGAUGGACAACAGGUUGAUAUUCCUGUACUAGAGUAUAUAGUGAUGGAGGGACGCAGUAGGCUAACUAAACCAGACGAUUGGAAGUGUCUGGCCAAGCAGUGAGGUGUGAUAUGAGUCAAAUGCUUAUAUCUUUAACAUUGAGCUGUGAUGGGGAGCGAAGUUUAGUAGCGAAGUUAGUGAUGUCACACUGCCGAGAAAAGCUUCUAGCGUUAAUUAUACUCUACCCGUACCGCAAACCGACACAGGUAGUCGAGGCGAGUAGCCUCAGGUGAGCGAGAGAACUCUCGUUAAGGAACUCGGCAAAAUGGCCCCGUAACUUCGGGAGAAGGGGCGCUGACUGAUGGUCAGCCGCAGUGAAUAGGCCCAAGCAACUGUUUAUCAAAAACACAGCUCUCUGCUAAAUCGUAAGAUGAUGUAUAGGGGGUGACGCCUGCCCGGUGCUGGAAGGUUAAGAGGAGUGCUUAGCGUAAGCGAAGGCAUGAAUUGAAGCCCCAGUAAACGGCGGCCGUAACUAUAACGGUCCUAAGGUAGCGAAAUUCCUUGUCGGGUAAGUUCCGACCCGCACGAAAGGCGUAAUGAUUUGGGCACUGUCUCAACGAGAGACUCGGUGAAAUUUUAGUACCUGUGAAGAUGCAGGUUACCCGCGACAGGACGGAAAGACCCCAUGGAGCUUUACUGCAGUUUGAUAUUGAGUAUCUGUACCACAUGUACAGGAUAGGUAGGAGCCUAUGACCUCGGGACGCCAGUUUCGAGUGAGGCGUUGUUGGGAUACUACCCUUGUGUUAUGGCUACUCUAACCCAGAUAGGUUAUCCCUAUCGGAGACAGUGUCUGACGGGCAGUUUGACUGGGGCGGUCGCCUCCUAAAAGGUAACGGAGGCGCCCAAAGGUUCCCUCAGAAUGGUUGGAAAUCAUUCGCAGAGUGUAAAGGUAUAAGGGAGCUUGACUGCGAGAGUUACAACUCGAGCAGGGACGAAAGUCGGGCUUAGUGAUCCGGUGGUUCCGUAUGGAAGGGCCAUCGCUCAACGGAUAAAAGCUACCCUGGGGAUAACAGGCUUAUCUCCCCCAAGAGUUCACAUCGACGGGGAGGUUUGGCACCUCGAUGUCGGCUCGUCGCAUCCUGGGGCUGUAGUCGGUCCCAAGGGUUGGGCUGUUCGCCCAUUAAAGCGGCACGCGAGCUGGGUUCAGAACGUCGUGAGACAGUUCGGUCCCUAUCCGUCGCGGGCGUAGGAAAUUUGAGAGGAUCUGCUCCUAGUACGAGAGGACCAGAGUGGACUUACCGCUGGUGUACCAGUUGUUCUGCCAAGAGCAUCGCUGGGUAGCUAUGUAGGGAAGGGAUAAACGCUGAAAGCAUCUAAGUGUGAAGCCCACCUCAAGAUGAGAUUUCCCAUGAUUUU